GCCAUGCCGCGUGUGUGAAGAAGGCCCUCGGGUUGUAAAGCACUUUCAGUGAGGAAGAACGCCUGGUGGUUAAUACCCAUCAGGAAAGACAUCACUCACAGAAGAAGCACCGGCUAACUCCGUGCCAGCAGCCGCGGUAAUACGGAGGGUGCGAGCGUUAAUCGGAAUUACUGGGCGUAAAGCGCGCGUAGGUGGCUUGAUAAGCCGGUUGUGAAAGCCCCGGGCUCAACCUGGGAACGGCAUCCGGAACUGUCAAGCUAGAGUGCAGGAGAGGAAGGUAGAAUUCCCGGUGUAGCGGUGAAAUGCGUAGAGAUCGGGAGGAAUACCAGUGGCGAAGGCGGCCUUCUGGACUGACACUGACACUGAGGUGCGAAAGCGUGGGUAGCAAACAGGAUUAGAUACCCUGGUAGUCCACGCCGUAAACGAUGUCGACCAGCCGUUGGGUGCCUAGCGCACUUUGUGGCGAAGUUAACGCGAUAAGUCGACCGCCUGGGGAGUACGGCCGCAAGGUUAAAACUCAAAUGAAUUGACGGGGGCCCGCACAAGCGGUGGAGCAUGUGGUUUAAUUCGA
This 571-nucleotide ribosomal RNA is filed under the name Halomonas sp. LAR05R16. RNAcentral describes it as "bacterial SSU rRNA". It matches the Rfam family "Bacterial small subunit ribosomal RNA", at positions 391 to 954 of the family's 1533-position model. The record is from RNAcentral. Lineage: Bacteria; Pseudomonadati; Pseudomonadota; Gammaproteobacteria; Oceanospirillales; Halomonadaceae.